UGAACGGCCACAUUGGGACUGAGACACGGCCCAGACUCCUACGGGAGGCAGCAGUGGGGGAUAUUGCGCAAUGGGGGAAACCCUGACGCAGCAACGCCGCGUGAAGGAUGAAGGUCUUCGGAUUGUAAACUUCUUUUAUUAAGGACGAAGAAAGUGACGGUACUUAAUGAAUAAGCUCCGGCUAACUACGUGCCAGCAGCCGCGGUAAUACGUAGGGAGCAAGCGCUGUCCGGAUUUACUGGGUGUAAAGGGUGCGUAGGCGGCUUUGCAAGUCAGAUGUGAAAUCUAUGGGCUCAACCCAUAGCCUGCAUUUGAAACUGCAGAGCUUGAGUGAAGUAGAGGCAGGCGGAAUUCCCCGUGUAGCGGUGAAAUGCGUAGAGAUGGGGAGGAACACCAGUGGCGAAGGCGGCCUGCUGGGCUUUAACUGACGCUGAGGCACGAAAGCGUGGGUAGCAAACAGGAUUAGAUACCCUGGUAGUCCACGCUGUAAACGAUGAUUACUAGGUGUGGGGGGUCUGACCCCUUCCGUGCCGGAGUUAACACAAUAAGUAAUCCACCUGGGGAGUACGGCCGCAAGGUUGCAACUCAAAGGAAUUGACGG
RNAcentral lists this ribosomal RNA (601 nucleotides) under uncultured Bacillota bacterium. RNAcentral describes it as "bacterial SSU rRNA". It matches the Rfam family "Bacterial small subunit ribosomal RNA", at positions 301 to 916 of the family's 1533-position model. Lineage: Bacteria; Bacillati; Bacillota. The record is from RNAcentral.